Molecule: ribosomal RNA, 479 nt
Filed under: uncultured bacterium
Lineage: Bacteria
Description: partial 16S ribosomal RNA
Rfam family: Bacterial small subunit ribosomal RNA
Source: RNAcentral
GAUGAACGCUAGCGGGAGGCCUAACACAUGCAAGCCGAGCGGUAUUGUUUCUUCGGAAAUGAGAGAGCGGCGUACGGGUGCGUAACACGUGUGCAACCUGCCUUUAUCUGGGGGAUAGCCUUUCGAAGGGAAGAUUAAUACUCCAUAAUAUAUUGAACGGCAUCGUUUAAUAUUGAAAGCUCCGGCGGAUAGAGAUGGGCACGCGCAAGAUUAGCUAGUUGGUGAGGUAACGGCUCACCAAGGCGAUGAUCUUUAGGGGGCCUGAGAGGGUGAUCCCCCACACUGGUACUGAGACACGGACCAGACUCCUACGGGAGGCAGCAGUGAGGAAUAUUGGUCACUGGGUGCAAGCCUGAACCAGCCAUCCCGCGUGAAGGACGACUGCCCUAUGGGUUGUAAACUUCUUUUGUAUAGGGAUAAACCUACCCUCGAGAGGGUAGCUGAAGGUACUAUACGAAUAAGCACCGGCUAACUCCGUG